This 801-nucleotide ribosomal RNA is filed under the name uncultured delta proteobacterium. RNAcentral's name for it is "bacterial SSU rRNA". It matches the Rfam family "Bacterial small subunit ribosomal RNA", at positions 40 to 817 of the family's 1533-position model. Lineage: Bacteria; Deltaproteobacteria. The record is from RNAcentral.
CGGCGNUGUAAUAAGACAUGCAAGUCGAACGGGGGGUUUGAUGUAGCAAUACAUUGGGCCUCCAGUGGCGAACGGGUGAGUAACACGUGAGCAACGUGCCCGGAAGAGCGGAAUAGCCCAGGGAAACUUGGAUUAAUGCCGCAUGUGGCCGGUCAGGGCAACCUGACAUGGUCAAAGGUGGGGAUCGCAAGACCCGCCGCUUCCGGAUCGGCUCGCGGCCUAUCAGCUUGUUGGCGGGGUAACGGCCCACCAAGGCUACGAUGGUUAGCUGGUCUGAGAGGAUGAUCAGCCACACUGGAACUGAGACACGGUCCAGACUCCUACGGGAGGCAGCAGUGGGGAAUUUUGCGCAAUGGGGGAAACCCUGACGCAGCAACGCCGCGUGAGUGAUGAAGGCUUUCGGGUCGUAAAGCUCUGUCAGAGGGGAAGAAAUGCAUUGGUGCUAAUAUCAUCUUUGCUUGACGGUACCCUCAAAGGAAGCACCGGCUAACUCCGUGCCAGCAGCCGCGGUAAUACGGAGGGUGCGAGCGUUGUUCGGAAUUAUUGGGCGUAGAGCGCGUGUAGGCGGUCUUUUAAGUCUGAUGUGAAAGCCCCGGGCUCAACCCGGGGAAGUGCAUUGGAAACUGGGAGACUUGAAUACGGGAAANGGUANUGGAAUCCUAGUGUAGGAGUGAAAUCCGUAAAUNUUAGGAGGAACACCGGUNGCNAAGGCGGCUACUGGACCGAUAUUGACGCUUAGACGCGAAACGUGGGUAGCAAACAGGAUNAAUACCUGGUANUCCCGCCNUAACAAUNANUAUA